Molecule: ribosomal RNA, 124 nt
Filed under: Phascolarctos cinereus (koala)
Lineage: Eukaryota; Metazoa; Chordata; Mammalia; Diprotodontia; Phascolarctidae
Source: RNAcentral
GCACACAGUCAUAUCUCACUAAACAAGCCUAAUCUUGUCUGAUCUCAGAAGCUAAGAUAUCAGAUAUCAGACCUAAUUAGUAUUUGUAUGGGAAACUACCUGGGAAUACCAGGUAGUCUAGGUC